UGAAGAUCCAUCAUGGCCAUGUACCUUUGCAGUGGUACAUCAUACUGACGCAGAUUGUUCAUCAAUUUCUUAACCUGAAGCUCGUGACUAAAAACCACAGGAGGAAGAAGGCCACGUAAAUAGUGCGAAUCCCUUUCUUUCUCGCUGAAAGCUAACCCUUUGUUGUAAUGUGGAUUACGCAACAAUGAGUAUCCGCUAGCAACAGAGAAGUUCCAAGGAGUAAUGGUUUGAUCUUCCGUAGCAGUAUCCUCUCCGUACACAUCGCCGACUCCACCAGUGACCGUCGAUUCAGAAUCUUCAUCUAUAACUGGAGCAUUUUCCUUCAUCUCCUUCAAAGUAUUCUCCAUUAAAACACUCACAUUCCGGUCUGCCGAUCUUCCAUUUGGGUUCACAGAGACCACCACCAUAGGAAAAGAUACCCUUUUCCGGGACUGAGUCAAGCAUCUUGAAACCCCAGAUAACGAA
RNAcentral lists this unclassified non-coding RNA (465 nucleotides) under Hevea brasiliensis (rubber tree). Lineage: Eukaryota; Viridiplantae; Streptophyta; Magnoliopsida; Malpighiales; Euphorbiaceae. The record is from RNAcentral.